This 399-nucleotide ribosomal RNA is filed under the name uncultured bacterium. Its description in RNAcentral is "bacterial SSU rRNA". It matches the Rfam family "Bacterial small subunit ribosomal RNA", at positions 30 to 430 of the family's 1533-position model. The record is from RNAcentral.
AUUGAACGCUGGCGGCAUGCCUUACACAUGCAAGUCGAACGGCAGCACGGGAGCUUGCUCCUGGUGGCGAGUGGCGAACGGGUGAGUAAUACAUCGGAACGUACCCUGAAGUGGGGGAUAACGUAGCGAAAGUUACGCUAAUACCGCAUAUUCUGUGAGCAGGAAAGAGGGGGAUCGCAAGACCUCUUGCUUUAGGAGCGGCCGAUGUCGGAUUAGCUAGUUGGUGAGGUAAAGGCUCACCAAGGCGACGAUCCGUAGCGGGUCUGAGAGGAUGAUCCGCCACACUGGGACUGAGACACGGCCCAGACUCCUACGGGAGGCAGCAGUGGGGAAUUUUGGACAAUGGGCGCAAGCCUGAUCCAGCCAUGCCGCGUGAGUGAAGAAGGCCUCGGUGUAAGA